This 250-nucleotide unclassified non-coding RNA is filed under the name plant metagenome. RNAcentral describes it as "partial contains small subunit ribosomal RNA, internal transcribed spacer 1, and 5.8S ribosomal RNA". The stretch from base 183 to 250 matches the Rfam family "5.8S ribosomal RNA", at positions 1 to 56 of the family's 154-position model. The record is from RNAcentral.
GUAGGUGAACCUGCGGAGGGAUCAUUACCGAGUGAGGGGGCCUCGCGCCCUCGACCUCCCAACCCUUUGUUUGAUACAACCCUGUUGCCUCGGGGGCGAUGACCCGGCCUCGCGUCGGGCGUCCCCAGAGGACCAAUCAAUUCUGCAUCUUUGCGUCGGAGUAUUGAAAGCAAAUCAAUCAAAACUUUCAACAACGGAUCUCUUGGUUCUGGCAUCGAUGAAGAACGCAGCAUCUGACUGACUGAACUGU